Molecule: non-coding RNA, 358 nt
Filed under: Chelonia mydas (Green sea turtle)
Lineage: Eukaryota; Metazoa; Chordata; Testudines; Cheloniidae
Description: Eukaryotic small subunit ribosomal RNA
Rfam family: Eukaryotic small subunit ribosomal RNA
Source: Rfam by way of RNAcentral
AACCUCACCUGGCCCGGACACGGAAAGGAUUGACAGAUUUGAGAGCUCUUUCUCGAUUCUGUGGGUGGUGCAUGGCCAUUCUUAGUUAGUAGAGCGAUUUGUCUGGUUAAUUCUGAUAAUGAUCGAGACUCUGGCAUGCUAACUAGUUAUGCGACCCCCCGAGCAUGCCCAAAUAAAUCUGUUAGUCUUUAAAGUGCCACCGGACUCCUGGUAGUUUUUACCCUGGGGUUGUUUCUUUUGUCUUCCUCUGCAGAAUGGGUCACUUUCAGGUUUAAACUAGAGUAAAUGUUGGAUUUUCUGUAAGUUGAAGUCUUUAAAUCACGAUUUGAGGAGUUUAGUAACUCAGCCAGAGGUUAGG